GUAGGUGGCAAGCGUUGUCCGGGAAUUAUUGGGGCGUAAAGCGCGCGCAGGCGGUUCUUUAAGUCUGAUGUGAAAGCCCACGGGCUCAACCGUGGAGGGUCAUUGGAAACUGGAGAACUUGAGUACAGAAGAGGAAAGCGGAAUUCCACGUGUAGCGGUGAAAUGCGUAGAGAUGUGGAGGAACACCAGUGGCGAAGGCGGCUUUCUGGUCUGUAACUGACGCUGAGGCGCGAAAGCGUGGGGAGCAAACAGGAUUAGAUACCCUGGUAGUCCACGCCGUAAACGAUGAGUGCUAAGUGUUAGGGGGCUUCCGCCCCUUAGUGCUGCAGCUAACGCAUUAAGCACUCCGCCUGGGGAGUACGGCCGCAAGGCUG
Molecule: ribosomal RNA, 374 nt
Filed under: uncultured organism
Description: partial 16S ribosomal RNA
Rfam family: Bacterial small subunit ribosomal RNA
Source: RNAcentral